AGGCAGGUAGUGGUGACUGUUCAGGUAGCAGGAGAGAUGGUAGAUACAGAUGAUGGUGAUAAUGAUGAGAUAGAAAAUGAAAAGGAUUCUAGCUGUACCAACAUAACUGAUCUGCUGCAACAGAUAGGUCAAAGCAUAGUAGAAUUGCAACGCCAGAUGAGUGAGUCUGAUCUGCCAUGGCGACAUACUAUGACACUUAGGUCUCACGCACAGCAAGAUAAACCAACUAAACCGACUGAAUCAGCGUUCCAGUUUCCAUUAGUGCAGGCAGGCUCAUUUCUGUGCUAUAAGUCAUAUUCAGUAGGAGAUGUAAACUCCCUGGUGGAGAAAAUGCCACCCCCUAGAGAGGGUGGAGGUUUGUGGAUGGACAAGUUGGCUGAAAUGACAGCUGGCCAGACAUUAGCUUUAGGAGAUUUCAGGGCUGUUGCCUCCAGGAUGAUGUCACGUAGUGAGCUCCAUGAGAUAGAGACACAGUCAGGUACAAUGGGGCGUGGUGAUGAUGAAAGAUUUACUACAUAUAGUACCUGUAUAGGUUUUGCUAUGCGUGAUCUGUUUCCAUUGCCAGUAUCCACAGGUCCUCCUAAGUACACAUGGGACCCAGCAGUGUCCCCUAGGGAUCAUUUGGUGAAGUGUAGAGAGGAUUGGACAAGGAAAACAGGUAUGAAUCCCACUCAGCAGAGUGUCCAACAGCAGUGGUUUAGAAAGGCAGUAGAGGAGGGCCUCCCAGUCUCAGUCCAACAAGCUUUAAAUAAUAACCCAGAUCUCCCUGGAAGUGUUUCCAAUGUGUGGGAGCGACAUGUUACACAUCACAUGGAACGACACAAAACAAAAACAGACCAAGAAAAUGCUGAUAUAAAAGGGCUUCAUGUUCAGUUACUAAAAUUACAAGUGGGGCAGGCUCGUAAAGACGCCACUGACCAGAGAAAGAGUAAGAAAGAUACCCCAGCAGUUCAGAUGGUAGCGCAACCUCAGCCCGCUCCUCAGCCACAGCCCCCAUUUGCGGGUAACUCUGACCUUUAUCUGACCCCACUUUGGGUCCCCCAACCUCCUUAUCGUGGAGGGUGGGGCCAGAAUCAUAGAGGAGGAAACUGGAGGGGACAGGGUGGCCGAAGGGGAGGGGGGCAUGGAAGGGGCGGAUACAGCGGUAUGAGUGGGGGUGACUGCUUUUAUUGUGGAAAACCUG
Parambassis ranga (Indian glassy fish) is the source of this 1183-nucleotide long non-coding RNA. The record is from Ensembl. NCBI's taxonomy places the organism in Eukaryota, Metazoa, Chordata, Actinopteri, Ambassidae.